GUAUUUGUAGCCUGGCUAGCAAACCAGCAUUUCAUCUCCGAGGAAGUUAUCCCAGAGAGAAGUAAAGCAAGUGUCACCACAGGGAGGCAGGCAGGUUUCCCUUUUCACCAGUCCUGUUGGACUCACGGAUCACUCAACUCAGGAAUGGGCUCACACUCACCCAGAGCUUCUCUCACCGACCCUCCUCUCAUGUGUGCCUCUCCCUGCAAACAAAAGAAGGAGCAGAUUCCAGAACCACAGCAAAACCACGAAGGGGUUGGUGAGAAUCCAGGAAGCACCACACUGAACGGAUCUGGUCAAUAAAGAGGGACACGGAUGUGACCUAAAAGACGCAUAGAUCCCAGAGAAUCGCCCGUCCCAGAAGAUUAGUUGUUUACACUGUAGAGAAGGUCAAAAGCACGUCAGACAGAGGUUAUAGUGUGAGCACAAAGUAAUGAAAAGUAAUGGGAGGAUUAGCUUUAGGAAUAGUUUGUAUGAUUUUUAUGUUAUGUCCAUUGCCCAAACACAGUGGUCAUGCCGGAGAUGGUCUACCCAUUAAAGGGGGACAAAGGGACAAUUAAGUGAACUGUAAGUUGUGUGCUGAGAAACCAGGAGUGCUUUUUAAAGAAGAAACGGGUUAACUCUAUAGAGACUGUUUCCACAGAUUGACAAAAUAAUCUAGGACCUUUUAUUAGGAAAAGCUAAUUAUAUCUGUUUGGAUUUUACCGUGAGCAGUGAGGGAAGUCAGAAGCGGGUUUAAACUAUCAUGCUGGGUGAAAAGGGGGUGUUAGGAAGUAAAGGUAGGACAGCUCACAGCCCUGUCUUGGAGCUUGAUUUAUUUGUUUGAUUUAUUUGUUGUGGAUAGAAGUAAUUAUGCCACAAUAAUAAGGGAACACUGAAAAUACACAACCCGUUGAGGGGACGGAUGACAUAUAUGGUUGGGCAAUAGAAAGGUUUCAUUUUGUUUAGUAUGAUUUCUUUUGUUAAAUUCUUAGCUAUUAUUCUCACAUGCAAGUAAAGUUAAUGGGAUAACUCAUGAAUUAGUUCAUCUCUCAGUUAGAGAGAUGAAAAAGGGGGAAGUUUUUAAGGUAAAAUAUAUAUUCUUAGUGCUUAUUUGCUGUUUAUAUUGUUUUAGGUAGGCCAGUAGAUUGGGAAAGUCAGAAAGUAUGCUAAAGGUCACAAAGUGUAAGACAGGAAACUGCAGGAGACGCUUUAUGCAGAAGUAGACAGGAAGUGAAACUAGGCAGAGUGCACUGCAGAGUUGUUUUGAUCGAAACUAUGUGUGACUAUGUAUGACUGAUUAUGUUGUGCGCAUUUGGCUGCUAAUGCUUCAGAUCUGCUCAAGAUUUAGCCUGUGCACAUCCCCUUCCAGAAAGUAAUGCUUGAAUA
Molecule: long non-coding RNA, 1368 nt
Organism: Pelmatolapia mariae (spotted tilapia)
Lineage: Eukaryota; Metazoa; Chordata; Actinopteri; Cichliformes; Cichlidae
Exons: 3
Source: RefSeq, a predicted model, not a curated record